GACGUAGGGGGCGAGCGUUGUCCGGAAUUAUUGGGCGUAAAGCGCGCGCAGGCGGCCCGGUAAGUCGGAUGUGAAAACCUGGGGCUCAACCCUGGGGGGUCAUUCGAUACUGCUGGGCUCGAGGCAGGUAGAGGAGAGUGGAAUUCCCGGUGUAGCGGUGGAAUGCGCAGAUAUCGGGAGGAACACCGGUGGCGAAGGCGGCUCUCUGGGCCUGUCCUGACGCUCAGGCGCGAAAGCUGGGGGAGCGAACAGG
This 253-nucleotide ribosomal RNA is filed under the name uncultured bacterium. Its description in RNAcentral is "partial 16S ribosomal RNA". It matches the Rfam family "Bacterial small subunit ribosomal RNA", at positions 524 to 776 of the family's 1533-position model. The record is from RNAcentral.